CGCGGACGCCGGGCCGUUGGCAGUCGAUCAUCGUAUGCUGCCCGGAAUCCGGUCCGCG
Non-coding RNA from Pseudomonas sp., 58 nucleotides. The record is from Rfam. NCBI's taxonomy places the organism in Bacteria, Pseudomonadati, Pseudomonadota, Gammaproteobacteria, Pseudomonadales, Pseudomonadaceae.